Acanthosepion pharaonis is the source of this 97-nucleotide non-coding RNA. NCBI's taxonomy places the organism in Eukaryota, Metazoa, Mollusca, Cephalopoda, Sepiida, Sepiidae. The record is from the annotation of a GenBank genome assembly.
UUGAAACACCGGUUUCCGUACAAUCACCGAAGUUAAGCAACGUCGAGCCAGGUCAGUACCCGUAUGGGUGACAGCUUAGGAAUAUCAGGUGCUGUAA